UGGGGAAUAUUGGACAAUGGGCGAAAGCCUGAUCCAGCCAUGCCGCGUGUGUGAAGAAGGUCUUCGGAUUGUAAAGCACUUUAAGCGAGGAGGAGGGUACUGGUAUUAAUACUACCAGCUACUGGACGUUACUCGCAGAAUAAGCACCGGCUAACUCUGUGCCAGCAGCCGCGGUAAUACAGAGGGUGCAAGCGUUAAUCGGAAUUACUGGGCGUAAAGCGCGCGUAGGUGGUUCGUUAAGUUGAAUGUGAAAGCCCCGGGCUCAACCUGGGAACUGCAUCCAAAACUGGCGAGCUUGAGUAGGGCAGAGGGUGGUGGAAUUUCCUGUGUAGCGGUGAAAUGCGUAGAUAUAGGAAGGAACACCAGUGGCGAAGGCGACCACCUGGGCUCAUACUGACACUGAGGUGCGAAAGCAUGGGGAGCAAACAGG
This 430-nucleotide ribosomal RNA is filed under the name Pseudomonadota bacterium. RNAcentral's name for it is "Proteobacteria bacterium partial 16S ribosomal RNA". It matches the Rfam family "Bacterial small subunit ribosomal RNA", at positions 355 to 776 of the family's 1533-position model. The record is from RNAcentral. Lineage: Bacteria; Pseudomonadati; Pseudomonadota.